GACGAACGCUGGCGGCGUGCUUAACACAUGCAAGUCGAACGGAAAGGCCCUGCUUUUGUGGGGUGCUCGAGUGGCGAACGGGUGAGUAACACGUGAGUAACCUGCCCUUGACUUUGGGAUAACUUCAGGAAACUGGGGCUAAUACCGGAUAGGAGCUCCUGCUGCAUGGUGGGGGUUGGAAAGUUUCGGCGGUUGGGGAUGGACUCGCGGCUUAUCAGCUUGUUGGUGGGGUAGUGGCUUACCAAGGCUUUGACGGGUAGCCGGCCUGAGAGGGUGACCGGCCACAUUGGGACUAAGAUACGGCCCAGACUCCUACGGGAGGCAGCAGUGGGAAAUAUUGCACAAUGGGCGGAAGCCUGAUGCAGCAACGCCGCGUGCGGGAUGACGGCCUUCGGGUUGUAAACCGCUUUCGCCUGUGACGAAGCGAGAGUGACGGUAAUGGGUAAAGAAGCACCGGCUAACUACGUG
RNAcentral lists this ribosomal RNA (468 nucleotides) under uncultured bacterium. Its description in RNAcentral is "partial 16S ribosomal RNA". It matches the Rfam family "Bacterial small subunit ribosomal RNA", at positions 28 to 507 of the family's 1533-position model. The record is from RNAcentral.